GAGGCUAUGAAUCAUGAACAAAAGAGAUAAAGAUUAAAAGUCAUAUAGGAGGAAAUAAAAUUCUUAUGUGAGAAUCGCAUAUUUGAGUUUGGUGGACUCUGCCACAUGAGUCGGAAGGAGAAGAUUUAUUAGAUUAUCCAUCCAUAUAUAGGAUUAUAUUUUGUUUAAAUAAAUAAAAGAAAAGGAGAAGAGUUCUUUUUCGAUGCACAUUAGUAG
RNAcentral lists this long non-coding RNA (216 nucleotides) under Elaeis guineensis (African oil palm). RNAcentral's name for it is "long non-coding RNA (EGUI_LNC027506)". Lineage: Eukaryota; Viridiplantae; Streptophyta; Magnoliopsida; Arecales; Arecaceae. The record is from RNAcentral.